This 253-nucleotide ribosomal RNA is filed under the name uncultured bacterium. RNAcentral describes it as "partial 16S ribosomal RNA". It matches the Rfam family "Bacterial small subunit ribosomal RNA", at positions 524 to 776 of the family's 1533-position model. The record is from RNAcentral.
GACAGAGGGUGCAAACGUUGUUCGGAUUUACUGGGCGUAAAGCGUGCGCAGGCGGUGAUGUAAGACAGAUGUGAAAUCCCCGGGCUCAACCUGGGAACUGCAUUUGUGACUGCAUCGCUGGAGUGCGGCAGAGGGGGAUGGAAUUCCGCGUGUAGCAGUGAAAUGCGUAGAUAUGCGGAGGAACACCGAUGGCGAAGGCAAUCCCCUGGGCCUGCACUGACGCUCAUGCACGAAAGCGUGGGGAGCAAACAGG